RNAcentral lists this transfer RNA (72 nucleotides) under Bos taurus (domestic cattle). It matches the Rfam family "tRNA". From Rfam's summary of the family: Transfer RNA (tRNA) molecules are approximately 80 nucleotides in length. Their secondary structure includes four short double-helical elements and three loops (D, anti-codon, and T loops). RNAcentral also lists the same sequence under 4 other names. The record is from Rfam by way of RNAcentral. Lineage: Eukaryota; Metazoa; Chordata; Mammalia; Artiodactyla; Bovidae.
UCCCUGAUGGUCCUAUGGUUAAGACUUCACCCUGCAAUGCAGGGGGUGCAGGUUCAAUUCCUGGUCAGGGAG